This 362-nucleotide long non-coding RNA is filed under the name Arabidopsis lyrata. RNAcentral describes it as "long non-coding RNA (ALYR_LNC003366)". The record is from RNAcentral. Lineage: Eukaryota; Viridiplantae; Streptophyta; Magnoliopsida; Brassicales; Brassicaceae.
CAAUAUACUCGAUCACACAGCUUGAUACCAAGCACUGGAUGUGGUCGAGUAUCAGGUCGAGUAAUUUAACAGAAACUGUAAACAAGGUACUCGACUGCACAGUUUGUUACCUAAACUACUGGGUGUGGUCGAGUACUUCAAAUAAAACAGGGUAGAAAUGAUAAAACUGAGCAACAAGUAACAAGAUCAAGCAAUCAAUAGCGAUGUAAACAAGGAAAUCAAAUGGAAGAGAAAUUCCCGAGGAUGGGGUGAUCGAGUAGUGAUGUCUCCUUAAUCUAACAGGUGGUUAACAUGCUCAACAAACUAUCCCUAGACAACAAGUUCAAUAGCCAAAUCAAAGUGCUACCGCAACAGAGAUUCUC